Molecule: ribosomal RNA, 405 nt
Filed under: uncultured Clostridium sp.
Lineage: Bacteria; Bacillati; Bacillota; Clostridia; Eubacteriales; Clostridiaceae
Description: bacterial SSU rRNA
Rfam family: Bacterial small subunit ribosomal RNA
Source: RNAcentral
GGGGAAUAUUGCACAAUGGAGGAAACUCUGAUGCAGCAACGCCGCGUGAAGGAAGAAGGUUUUCGGAUCGUAAACUUCUAUCAAAAGGGACGAAACAAAUGACGGUACCUUAAUAAGAAGCCCCGGCUAACUACGUGCCAGCAGCCGCGGUAAUACGUAGGGGGCAAGCGUUAUCCGGAAUUACUGGGUGUAAAGGGAGCGUAGGCGGCAUGGUAAGUUAGAUGUGAAAGCCCGGGGCUUAACCCCGUGGAUUGCAUUUAAAACUAUCAAGCUAGAGUACAGGAGAGGAAAGCGGAAUUCCUAGUGUAGCGGUGAAAUGCGUAGAUAUUAGGAAGAACACCAGUGGCGAAGGCGGCUUUCUGGACUGAAACUGACGCUGAUGCUCGAAAGCGUGGGGAGCGAACA